UACGUAGGGUGCAAGCGUUGUCCGGAAUUAUUGGGCGUAAAGAGCUCGUAGGCGGUGUGUCGCGUCGGCCGUGAAAACCUGCAGCUUAACUGUGGGCUUGCGGUCGAUACGGGCAUCACUGGAGUUCGGCAGGGGAGACUGGAAUUCCUGGCGUAGCGGUGAAAUGCGCAGAUAUCAGGAGGAACACCGGUGGCGAAGGCGGGUCUCUGGGCCGAUACUGACGCUGAGGAGCGAAAGCGUGGGGAGCGAACAGG
Molecule: ribosomal RNA, 254 nt
Filed under: uncultured bacterium
Lineage: Bacteria
Description: partial 16S ribosomal RNA
Rfam family: Bacterial small subunit ribosomal RNA
Source: RNAcentral